GCCUGGCUGGCUCAGUUGGUAGAGCAUGCAACUCUUGAUCUCGGGGUCAUGAGCUCAAGUCCCAUGUUGGGUG
RNAcentral lists this transfer RNA (73 nucleotides) under Felis catus (domestic cat). It matches the Rfam family "tRNA". From Rfam's summary of the family: Transfer RNA (tRNA) molecules are approximately 80 nucleotides in length. Their secondary structure includes four short double-helical elements and three loops (D, anti-codon, and T loops). Lineage: Eukaryota; Metazoa; Chordata; Mammalia; Carnivora; Felidae. The record is from Rfam by way of RNAcentral.